RNAcentral lists this ribosomal RNA (497 nucleotides) under uncultured bacterium. RNAcentral's name for it is "partial 16S ribosomal RNA". It matches the Rfam family "Bacterial small subunit ribosomal RNA", at positions 28 to 507 of the family's 1533-position model. The record is from RNAcentral.
GACGAACGCUGGCGGCGUGCCUAAUACAUGCAAGUUGAGCGCUGAAGGUUGGUACUUGUACCUACUGGAUGAGCAGCGGACGGGUGAGUAACGCGUGGAGAAUCUGCCUUUGAGCGGGGGACAACAUUGGGAAACGAAUGCUAAUACCGCAUAAAAAAUUUAAACACAAGGUUUAAGAUUGAAAGAUGCAAUUGCAUCACCCAAAGAUGAUACCGCGUUGUAUUAGCUAGGUUGGGAGGUAAAGGCUCAACAAGGCGAAGGUUCAUAAGCCGACUGGGGGGGUGGUCCGCCACCUUGGGACCGAGACACGGCCCCAGACUCCUAGGGAGGGAGCAGUAGGGAAUCUUUGGGCAUUGACGGAAGGCUGACCGGGCCACGCCGGCGUGGGGGAGAAGGGUUUCCGAUUGGAAAACCUCGUUUGUAGAGAAGAACGAUGGUGGGAGUGGAAUGCUCAUCAAGUGACGGUACCUACCCAGAAAGCGACGGCUAACUACGUG